UCAAGAUCCAGAGGCUCAUACCUGUUCUGAAGUGGCGCCUGGCUUGGGAGUGGGGGUCAGGAGCAAUUUUUAUUAUUAUGUCCUUGAGCAGGUAUCGACUCCAACUCCCCUUCAUCUACCAGGUGUCCUUCUAUUGUCUGACAGUGGGAGGCAUAAAAGAGAGUAGGAACCAAGGAGAGCAUUGCUGUCCUGUGAGACCUCAGGGAUCCUCAAGGAUCCACUGUGACACUGAAGGGCCCAAGGAUCCAAGGGACUUUGUGACACCAAGGGGUUCCAUGGAACCAAAGGGACAUUGUGACCCAGGGAAGCCUCAUGGAAACAUGGAGGUCAUUGGAACACUCUGGGGCCUCAAGGAACUGUGGUGACACCAAGCUGGGUGUGAGUGUGGAUCUGCUGGAGGGUCAGAGGGCUCUGCACAGGAACCUGGACAGGCUGGAUCCAAGGCCCAAAUCCAACAAGGGGCUCUCUUCUGUGAAUGGGCCAUUGAGUGUCCCUGCAGGACUGGUAAAAUGACAUCAUCCCAUUGUGGGAUGCUCCGCCCAGGGGGAGGAGCCACGCAUUCCUACCUGGAUAUAAACUGAGACUUGUAGCACCAGGAGCAUCUUGCCUACUGGAUUUCCAGAGGACAAGAGCUCCAUAAGCACCACUGGACCUUCAGAGGAAGACCAGACCCUUCUACAGGAUCACCGCUUCGACAGAAUCAUGUUCAUCACUGCAACAGGACUGAGGCCACCAUCUAAUGGGACUGCUACCACCACCCUGACACACAGGGUGCCAGAAUUUCCCAUCUCAAAACCACUGCCAGAUGGAGGAGAAGGCUGUAAGGAAGAGGAAGAUGUCCCGGGACCAUCAG
Long non-coding RNA from Passer domesticus (house sparrow), 853 nucleotides. RefSeq lists it as uncharacterized. NCBI's taxonomy places the organism in Eukaryota, Metazoa, Chordata, Aves, Passeriformes, Passeridae. The record is from RefSeq and is a predicted model, not a curated record. The transcript has 3 exons.